Molecule: ribosomal RNA, 467 nt
Filed under: uncultured bacterium
Lineage: Bacteria
Description: bacterial SSU rRNA
Rfam family: Bacterial small subunit ribosomal RNA
Source: RNAcentral
UCCCAGACUCCUACGGGAGGCAGCAGUGAGGAAUAUUGGUCAAUGGCCGAGAGGCUGAACCAGCCAAGUCGCGUGAGGGAUGACGGCCCUACGGGUUGUAAACCUCUUUUGUCGGGGAGCAAAGAGAGUCACGUGUGGCUCAUUGAGAGUACCCGAAGAAAAAGCAUCGGCUAACUCCGUGCCAGCAGCCGCGGUAAUACGGAGGAUGCGAGCGUUAUCCGGAAUCAUUGGGCGUAAAGAGUUCGUAGGUGGCACGUUAAGUCUGGUGUUAAAUGCAGAGGCUCAACCUCUGUUCGGCACUGGAUACUGGCGAGCUUGAAUGCGGUAGAGGUAAAGGGAAUUCCUGGUGUAGCGGUGAAAUGCGUAGAUAUCAGGAGGAACAUCGGUGGCGUAAGCGCUUUACUGGGCCGUAAUUGACACUGAGGAACGAAAGCCAGGGUAGCAAAUGGGAUGAGAUACCCCAGUAC